RNAcentral lists this ribosomal RNA (707 nucleotides) under uncultured bacterium. RNAcentral describes it as "bacterial SSU rRNA". It matches the Rfam family "Bacterial small subunit ribosomal RNA", at positions 726 to 1432 of the family's 1533-position model. The record is from RNAcentral.
UCUCUGGNCAGUAACUGACGCUGAGGAGCGAAAGCAUGGGGAGCGAACAGGAUUAGAUACCCUGGUAGUCCAUGCUGUAAACGGUGGGCGUUAGGUGUGGGGACCGGUUUGGUUUCUGUGCCGUAGCUAACGCAUUAAGCGCCCCGCCUGGGGAGUACGGCCGCAAGGCUAAAACUCAAAGGAAUUGACGGGGGCCCGCACAAGCGGCGGAGCAUGUGGAUUAAUUCGAUGCAACGCGAAGAACCUUACCUGGGUUUGACAUGCACCAGACGGUUGUAGAGAUACGUACCUCCCUUUGUGGUUGGUGUGCAGGUGGUGCAUGGUUGUCGUCAGCUCGUGUCGUGAGAUGUUGGGUUAAGUCCCGCAACGAGCGCAACCCUUGUCUUAUGUUGCCAGCACUUUGGGUGGGGACUCAUGAGAGACUGCCGGGGUUAACUCGGAGGAAGGUGGGGAUGACGUCAAAUCAUCAUGCCCUUUAUGCCCAGGGCUUCACACAUGCUACAAUGGUUAGUACAACGCGCGGCAAACCUGUGAGGGUGAGCGAAUCGCUGAAAGCUAAUCUCAGUUCGGAUUGGGGUCUGCAACUCGACCCCAUGAAGUCGGAGUCGCUAGUAAUCGCAGAUCAGCAAUGCUGCGGUGAAUACGUUCCCGGGCCUUGUACACACCGCCCGUCACGUCAUGAAAGUUGGUAACACCCGAAGCCCAUG